GAGGGUAUAGCUCAGUGGUAGAGCACAUGCUCAGCAUGCGUGAAGUCCUGGGUUCAAUCCCCAGUACCAUUA
RNAcentral lists this transfer RNA (72 nucleotides) under Camelus bactrianus (Bactrian camel). It matches the Rfam family "tRNA". Rfam says of the family: Transfer RNA (tRNA) molecules are approximately 80 nucleotides in length. Their secondary structure includes four short double-helical elements and three loops (D, anti-codon, and T loops). Further hydrogen bonds mediate the characteristic L-shaped molecular structure. tRNAs have two regions of fundamental functional importance: the anti-codon, which is responsible for specific mRNA codon recognition, and the 3' end, to which the tRNAs corresponding amino acid is attached (by aminoacyl-tRNA synthetases). tRNAs cope with the degeneracy of the genetic code in two manners: having more than one tRNA (with a specific anti-codon) for a particular amino acid; and 'wobble' base-pairing, i.e. permitting non-standard base-pairing at the 3rd anti-codon position. Lineage: Eukaryota; Metazoa; Chordata; Mammalia; Artiodactyla; Camelidae. RNAcentral also lists the same sequence under 2 other names. The record is from Rfam by way of RNAcentral.